RNAcentral lists this long non-coding RNA (488 nucleotides) under Geospiza fortis (medium ground-finch). RNAcentral's name for it is "lncRNA (ENSGFOG00000009486.1)". The record is from RNAcentral. Lineage: Eukaryota; Metazoa; Chordata; Aves; Passeriformes; Thraupidae.
CUCUGUGUCCCCAGCCUGGGUGCCACUGGGGCUCUGUGUCCCCACUGAUGCUCCCACCUUGUGUGCCCAGCCAGGUGCCAGCCCUGAGAGCCGAGCAGCCCCAGCAGGUGACCUGGAGCCAGAGGGAGCCCAGCGCUGGCCCAGCACCCCCAGGAGCGAGCUGGAGCCACAGGGCCAGCACAGCGCCGUGACUGGGAAGCUGGUGACAGAGGCAGAUGGCAGAGGAUCCAGCACAGGGAGCGAGGAGCCAGAGCAGCUUGGGCUGACGUCCAAGGGCUCUGCAGCGGAGCUGUGGCGUCCGUGGCUCUUCCUCCCACAGCACUACUGGGUUUUCUUCUGGCUGCUUCUCCUGAGCAUCGCCUUCCUCCUCCUCGUCCGUGUCCUGGAGCUGCAGAGGCUGCAGCCUGCAGCAUCACCCAAGGCUUAGCUGGACCAGGGAGGGGGAGCUGGGAGACAUCUCUGCUCCUUCCCCACGUCCUAAAACACAA